GUGCCAGCAGCCGCGGUAAUACGUAGGGUGCGAGCGUUGUCCGGAAUUACUGGGCGUAAAGAGCUCGUAGGUGGUUUGUCGCGUCGUCUGUGAAAUUCCGGGGCUUAACUCCGGGCGUGCAGGCGAUACGGGCAUAACUUGAGUGCUGUAGGGGAGACUGGAAUUCCUGGUGUAGCGGUGAAAUGCGCAGAUAUCAGGAGGAACACCAAUGGCGAAGGCAGGUCUCUGGGCAGUAACUGACGCUGAGGCUCGAAAGCGUGGGGAGCGAACAGGAUUAGAUACCCUGGUAGUCCACGCCGUAAACGAUGAGUGCUAAGUGUUGGAGGGUUUCCGCCCUUCAGUGCUGCAGCAAACGCAUUAAGCACUCCGCCUGGGGAGUACGACCGCAAGGUUGAAACUCAAAGGAAUUGACGGGGGCCCGCACAAGCGGUGGAGCAUGUGGUUUAAUUCGAAGCAACGCGAAGAACCUUACCAGGUCUUGACAUCCUUUGACCACUCUAGAGAUAGAGCUUUCCCUUCGGGGACAAAGUGACAGGUGGUGCAUGGUUGUCGUCAGCUCGUGUCGUGAGAUGUUGGGUUAAGUCCCGCAACGAGCGCAACCCUUAUUGUUAGUUGCCAUCAUUUAGUUGGGCACUCUAGCGAGACUGCCGGUGACAAACCANAGGAAGGUGGGGAUGACGUCAAAUCAUCAUGCCCCUUAUGACCUGGGCUACACACGUGCUACAAUGGGAAGUACNANNAGUUGCGAAGUCGCGAGGCUAANCUAAUCUCNUAAAACUUCUCUCAG
This 787-nucleotide ribosomal RNA is filed under the name uncultured bacterium. Its description in RNAcentral is "bacterial SSU rRNA". It matches the Rfam family "Bacterial small subunit ribosomal RNA", at positions 505 to 1291 of the family's 1533-position model. The record is from RNAcentral.